GCUUAACCAGGUAGCGUCGCCGUGAGCUCCGGGAAACUUGAGCCGAGUCUUCACGACUUAAACCUAUUGAGUUGAUUUUUGGGGUUCUUCGCCUCCUCGUUGGGUGUCUAGUCAAGCCGAGCUAAUUCGCAUCUUUUUCCAAGCAAACAUCGAAGAGUUGGUCUCUCUGUGAGAGGAGGGAAGAGGAAGACAUAUCAAUGAGGCAGCAGUCAGCAGCCACAGCCAGGCAACAUGAUGCCUCUUUCUGGCUCACUUGACCACACCUGGGAAGGACAGGGCCUGCAGCCCUGGUGUAUAAUGCUGAUGAUUAACUAAAUAGAGGCUGCAGCAGUCUGUGAGAGCAGGGCGGCUUAGCUUUCUCACUUCAUGGGCCUGACUGACCGGGAAGAAGCUGAAGUGUUCGCAGGCGCUGGCUGCUAAAAAUUCUAGAUCUUUUCCUUUUCACCCCCCACCCCCCUUUACUCACUUUGUUUUGUUGCAUUCUUUCCUUUUGGGUUCCUUUUCACAACGGUAAGGUUACAGGUACAUUCUCCACCUCUCUUCACUGCCUGUUCUUUUCCCUCCCUUCUGCUCUCUCUCUCUCUACCUUUCUCAUUCACUCACACUCUUCCAUUUAGCUCAUUUGCAGGAUGACGGGAAACCUAUUCUUUCCCUCUGAACACAGGAUUGUCUUGAUUCUAGUUUUGUUUCAGGUUUAGAGAAAAAAAUAGCAAAAAAAUAGUUAACAUUAAUAGAUAUCAAUAUUAGUGUAACUAUUGCUGACUUACUGUACCAAGUCUCAAUAAAAUGACAUACAUUGUGCUACCUGUGCUACCAUCUUCAGGGACAUGAAAUGUGAAUACGGAACAACAACCCCAAGGCCUUGUUGCUUUAGCAGUGGGUUUUGUCGAGAAUGGAUGUUAAUAAUGCAGUGGUCAAAAAAAUACCCAAUUGUCAUACUUGAGUAAAAGUAAAGAUACAUGAAUAGAAAAGGACUGAAGUGAAAGUCACCCAGCAAAAUACUACUUGAGUAAAAGUCUAAAAGUAUUUGGUUUUAAAUACACUGAAGUAUAUUUAUUUAAGGAUUGCCAGGGGCAAAAUCCAACACUCAGACAUUAUUUACAAACAAAGCAUUUGUGUUGAGUGAGUCCGCCAGAUCAGAGGCAGUAGGGAUGACCAGGGAUAAUAUAUAUAUAUAUAUAUAAUUUUCAGAAUGAGGGGGAAAAGCAGCCUUACCAUUUCGUAGAACCAGACCAGUCAGAACAGGUUUGGCCAAUCAUUAACAUCCACUGUGGCCCACUCUCCUCUGGCAGAACCUAACCUACAGUCCCUACUAGAACAAAGUCUGCCGUACAACAAGUUGUAUUUUUUUGUUUCAAGGCAAGUUUCAAAUACGUUGUUUCCCCCCACUUCAUCUCUUGUUUAAGACCUGGGGGUUAGGUGAUAAAUUGAACUUGCUAUUGUUAGUUUGAGUUUGAGAUAGUAGAGUCCACCCAUAGUAGAGUCCACCCAAGGCCACAAUUUGUUGAGUUAACUGAAGUGGAGUUCUAAUGGAUAUUGAUGAUGAGUUGCAUGUGUGCCUGAGGAGGAGGUAUACUUGAUUUUAUAUUAUUAUAGUUUCUCCUUUCUGUGGUAAAUGCAGAUGUAGCUUUAGAGAUGUGAAAGACAGGCCUUAUAAUGAUCAUUUGCAUUACCAGUCAGGGUUGCCUACUGUUUAGUACACCUCUUUCUUUUCAUAGUGGAAUGUUCCUGAAGUCUCAGUUAUGCACAUAGAUGGGGCUUAUCCCCACACAAACCUACCCAAAGCAAGGUUAGGCUUUUAUCAAGUUUUUGUCAGUGAAAACCAGGAGAUAACACAACACAUUGAACAAAAUGAACCUGUAUUGUAAAAUGCUUAGACGAAAAUAUUAUUACUGCGAUCCGUACACUUAUUGUGAUCUGUAAAAUAAUCACUUUUAUGACCCAUUGUUUGUCUCCUAUGUAUGUAUUGGAUGGUCAUCCCCAUCUUACAAGGCAGCAUUGGAUAUCAUCAAUCUCUCUAAUACUGCCUGGUAAUGAUGAUGCUAGCCAUCCGCUAACUACAGUGAUAUACCACACAACUUACAACGUUAGCUAGCUACAUAAGCACACUUUACCAUAGCUUGGCGGCCAUUUUUUUUCUCAAUGAAAUGCUCUGGUUUACGCUGAAAUGGCUUUCAGGAUCCAUCUUACCUGACAGUGCUGGAUUGUACAAAAAAGUUCUAACACUGUCUGGUAACGAUGUUUCCUGGGUGACCCACCUACCUCCAGAGAUACACCUCAGCUAAGGAUGUGCUUAAAGGGUCAGGUGUUUGAUGUCUGAUAUUGUCACUGAUAAGAAGACUUGGUUUAGGAUUGCAUCUAUCUGUAAGAGAUUGUCUUAAAUCUUCAUCUAUUGACACGCCUUUAUUCCGCUAGCUAAAACUAUACAUCUGAAAGAAGCUCCAUUUUACCUCAUCAUUUAUUUGUAGAAAAGAUAGGCCUAUGAAGUGCUUAUUUUGUAAAUUGUAUUGGGAAACUAUUUGGCAAUCCAAGUAAUUGAAAUAUCUCAGUGUUCCUCAGUUAAGAAUCAAUUCAAAGAAAUGGAGAAGAUUAGAGGCACGACUGGCAAUGGCCUUUCCCUGGGGAACAAGUAGAGGAGACCCAGCAUUUGUAAUUCAACUUCCCUGUCCUGUUCUAGGGUGGCCCCACCCAACCUGUGUUAAAGAAUACAGGUCGGUUGACGGUUCAACCGGUCGCACCGCCACUCAUUUUCGUAUCACCUCCCCUCUGUAGAGUGUGGCUUGUGUUGUGUCACCGUGAUUGGUCCAGCACCGCUUAUCUACAUGCCACAUCCUGAAACUGACAGAAGCUCACCUGAGCACUUAUGAUAAAAAUAGACUCAGCAACAUCCUCCUUGACUCCUUACCACUCCCCUUCAGCCUCACCUCUCUCUCAUCCCUUCAUAUGAAUGAUUACUCUUUUUUUUAUCACAGCUAAAUAUAUCCCACAGCUCUAUCUGUAGUGCCUUUUGUUGUUUUACAAGGCUUCAUUGGAGAACCUUUGUUCCAAUUAGAAUUUUAGAAUUCUGUUGAAUUUGUUUCAUAAACAAAUGAUAAAUAGCCAUAGACUUAAAUGAGUUGAUCCUUUAUGGCAAACUACUACCCCGUUCCAUGUCGUCUUCCAGGAAGAAAAAUACAUCCCAAUUUAAUAGGUAAAGCCUUCAAACAGACAGCACAGACAUUGGCAAAUAAUAAAAGGAGCUGGCAGAGCCUAAAUGUUUGUUUAAGGAGGGAGAAUUACCUCGCAAAUAUUGAACCAUACCUUUAUUGGCUCACCUUCGGUUGUUUGCCUUUAUUUAUGACAUAGACACACGGAAUGGUUCAAUGUUUUUUCCCUUUUCACCCCCUCUCCUUUCCAAACGGUUAAAAAGACAAUUUGAUGUUGUACUGAACCCAAAUGUGGCAUAUUUAUUUAAUUUGCGGUGAGAGGGCACCACAUUUUGAUGUGAACUUUCAACCAACAGGAUCUAGUUUGUCUUUAUUCAUGGCAAAUCAUUGUAAAUGUACUCCAUAUAACAUAGUCUUUGAGAAUAUGAAGACGAUAGAGUAGUAUCCCUGUCUGUGUGUGAGACAGACAAACAGACGAACAGACAGACAGACAUACUGUAUCUUUUCAGCUCUUUUCAGUCUCUUCCUGUAUCUCAUCCUGUCUCUUUCAGCUGUCUCCCUCUGCGUACAGUGGACGGUUGGUUCAGAGGGCGUCCUUCAGUCCUAGCUCCCUAGCCUGUUGAUUGGCGUCUUACCAGACAUGGUUAGAUCUAAAUAUCCCUGUCUAAUACUGUCUGGUAAUGCCGUCCAUUGAAUGGCGUUUACUUCUCUUUUUCCUCUCCCCUUCUUGUACAGAAGUUUGAGCAUGGCCGUCAGAUUUCUUGGUGUGUCUGACCUCUUAGGCUUCUUCUAUGUUAAUGUGUGUAUACAGUGUGUUUGUGUGUGUAUAUGACCAGUGCAUAGACACAUUGGUUGAAGUGACAGAUGGAUUGGGGUGUAUUCACUAUGGUCAUGAAGAUAAUGACAAUACAGGAACUAUGAACCUUGCACUGGAAGAUUGAUUCAGUUGUCAGUGCUCUUCCAUGUGCCAUGUGUCAGAGUUUAUUCCUUAAGCAACGGCCCAGGAUGGGCAAAGAAAUACAGCAUUUUGGGAUAUACACAUAUGUGAUGCCAUAAGUAAUUAAAAUGCUUUAAGGUGCUUUUAAAUCUCGCUCUGUCUCUCUCUCUCUCUGUGUGUGUGUGUUCAUAAAUAUACUGUAUCAAAUAUUUUAUAUUUAAACGGAUGUAAUAUUAUCUUCAUGUAAUAAAGCAUUUAGAACAGCAUUUAUUCGACUUUUAAAAGAAAGAUUUGUGUGCUCGUCACGGUGUCAUGGUUACUAAAUUCCAAAUAGGAACAUUGUCGGGAAUUUGACAUUUCUCCAGGUACAGUAAAUUAAAAAACUAUAAAUGAAUCCAUUAUUGAUCUAAUUGAUCUAUAAAUACUGUCUAUACUACAGCCAAGCGAUAGAUACACAUAUAUAUUUUCACCAACGUUAUGUAAUAUGACAUGACAAUAUCAAAUAAACUUGAAAUAAAACAA
This is a long non-coding RNA of Oncorhynchus mykiss (rainbow trout), 4605 nucleotides long. RefSeq lists it as uncharacterized. The record is from RefSeq and is a predicted model, not a curated record. NCBI's taxonomy places the organism in Eukaryota, Metazoa, Chordata, Actinopteri, Salmoniformes, Salmonidae.